GCGGCGGCGAGGGGAGGGAGGCGGGCGGGAGGGGCGGGAGGGAGGUCUCUCCGGCCUGCCUCCCCGGGCGUGUGUAUGUGUGUGUGUGUGUGUGUGUGUGUGUGUGUGUGUCUGAUCAGAUGUCUGUUUCAAGGCGGGAAACAGCUGGUGAAAACUCAGCACUCCCCCGGCCUCCUUCCGCGGAGUAAGGAAUUGCAUGUAAACAAAGGACUAUUUGCAGCGCCCCCCAGGGCGGCGCGAGGCCCGGGCGAGAGGGGCGCUGGCCCCCGCGGGCGAGUGGUAGCCAGGGUCUGCGCGCCUCCCCACGAGUUCCGGGUGCGGGGGCCGCGGGCGGGCUUGAAGGGCGCGGCGUGAAUGGAGCGAGCUGCGGCCGAGCUACAUGCGCCACUAUGGGUGAUGAGGUCCAUCAGCUGACAGGUUGGCAAGCGUAGCAAAAAAAAAAAAAAAAAAAAAGCCAGCCACAGCGAGGAAACCCAGUCCGCGCGCCCGGGGUCCGGCGGGGACUGCUCCGUGCAGGGUCUGCGCGCUUGGCGGCCGUCGGGGGGCGGGGGUGCGCAGCUGGGCCCGGCGAAGGCGAAGGCGGCCUGAGGUGCUGCUCCGGGCUUUUUUCUUCUUCGGUUGCAACUGCACAGAGAGGAGCUGCUCUGGCGCGCUCCCUCCGAGCCCAGGGCCCCCUGGAAACUUGCGUCAUAGCCACCACUUCCCACAUGUAACUUGGGGCCGACUUCAGAGGCCGGCCAGCCCCCUCCCUCACUCGCUCCCUGCCUAGCUGCCCGCCACUGCCCGCCCAGCCUGGGUUCCGGAGCCUGGGAAUCCCGGAGCCGGGGAGGGGAGGGCAAAGGGGGGCGCGCCGGGCGCCUCGAAUCCCAGGGCUGCCUUAGGAAGCAGGGGCCCCAGCGGGGAGGGAAGGGUGGAGGCGGGCCAGGACAGCAGCGGCCCCGGAGGCGGGCUGCCAGCGCGGCUGGGAGGUUUGGUGGAUGCUGCCGGGUCGCCUCCUAUGCCCCCUCGCUUUACCCCUCCUCUGGGAGGCUGGACAGCAGGCGGCACGCCCUAGCUUGGCCCGGGCAGGCGAAGGCUGCAUCUUCCCAUUCAGGGCGAAGCCAGUGCGAGACUUGCUCCCCCGCCAGGGUGCGCUCUCUACUAGGGGUGAAGGCCUGGAGCGGGUAAGGGAGGGACGCCUUGGCGGCGAGUUCCGUCCGCCCUUCCCGCGUCCCCUCCCCUGGCUCCUGGAGGUUGGCCCCUGGCUCAGGAAGACCGCGCUUGCCUUGGAAUGUCCUCCCUCCUACCCACCGCCUUUCCCAAUCCCAUCCGCCUUCCAGGUUCCGCCCAAAUCGCGCCUCCUAAUUGAAAUACUGCUACUUAUAACAAGGAUUACUGUUAUUAUUAGGAAAUGUUAUGGUUAUUAGAUAUUCGGAGCACCUUGUAGAUGUCUGGCAGUUUUGCGUGAAUAUUUUCCAAUCCUUAAAGUAAGCUGUCAGGCUGCUUCUGUAAGUACAGGUCCCGGACCGUGUAACAUCACAGUCCCUGGGAGGCUUCACUGUUGGGACAGGAAGGAUGACAUCUGGGGACAACAUAGGAUACAGAGCCACAUAACUGUGUACACUGAGCAGCGUCCACAGUGCCUGGGUGAAUGAAUGAACGAGAGCUGGGAGAAGCGUGUCCACCCUUUGCUCUGUCUUCUACAGAAAUGCCUUGACCCAGCCUGAGCCCAGUUCCUGCGAGCACACUGUCACUCAGACUGGCCUCCCCAUUUCUGCCAAAGGCGUCUUCUCAUCUACAGCCCUCUGCUGUCUCAGAUGCACCAACCCACACACCCCUGGCUCAGCUGCUCCUGCCCCAAGGCCUGAAAUAUCAUCACUGCUCCCACCGCCCCACUCCAACACUCUCCCACCGCUAACCCACUUCACGGCAGUAGCACCAGAAGUCCCCAGACUCCAGGCCGUUUUCCAUUCCCAGGAGGCUCUGUACACCCCUUAGUCUGAUCCCUUCCCAACUCCUAAUUCAGUCCACUGUGCCCUCUGGAGCCCUCAAAGGGUGUUCAGCAAAAUCCCCUUUAUCCUUGGUACCUGACUUUACCCCUCACCUUCUUGCUCUAAGUUAGGUGUCAGCAAACUUUUUCUAUAAAGGGCGUGUAAAAGUUAUUUGCAUGUGGAAUCUAAAAUAUGACACAAGUGACCAUAUCUAAGAAACAGAAACACACAGACAUAGAGAGCAGACCUGUGGUUGCCAAAGGAGCAGGGGUGGGGAAGGAAGGACUGAGAGUUUGGGAUUAGGAGAUGCAAACUAUUAUAUAUAGGAUGGAUAAACGACAAGGUCCUACUGUAUAGCACAGGGAACUAUAUUCAAUAUCCUGUGAUAAACCAUAAUGGAAAAGAAUAUGAAAUAUAUAUAUAUAACUGAAUCACUUUGCUGUACAGCAAAAAUUAACUCAUUGUAAAUCAACUGUACUUCAAUAAAAUUUUUUUUUAAA
Molecule: long non-coding RNA, 2470 nt
Organism: Orcinus orca (killer whale)
Lineage: Eukaryota; Metazoa; Chordata; Mammalia; Artiodactyla; Delphinidae
Exons: 2
Source: RefSeq, a predicted model, not a curated record